GUGCGUGGUGGCUCGAGGCGGGGUGGGGGCCUCGCCCUGCCUGGGCCCUCCCUGACCUCUCCGCUCCGCACAG
This 73-nucleotide microRNA precursor is filed under the name Pan paniscus (pygmy chimpanzee). RNAcentral's name for it is "miRNA (ENSPPAG00000000630.1)". Lineage: Eukaryota; Metazoa; Chordata; Mammalia; Primates; Hominidae. The record is from RNAcentral.